GACGAACGCUGGCGGCGUGCUUAACACAUGCAAGUCGAACGGAAAGGCCCUGCUUUUGUGGGGUGCUCGAGUGGCGAACGGGUGAGUAACACGUGAGUAACCUGCCCUUGACUUUGGGAUAACUUCAGGAAACUGGGGCUAAUACCGGAUAGGAGCUCCUGCUGCAUGGUGGGGGUUGGAAAGUUUCGGCGGUUGGGGAUGGACUCGCGGCUUAUCAGCUUGUUGGUGGGGUAGUGGCUUACCAAGGCUUUGACGGGUAGCCGGCCUGAGAGGGUGACCGGCCACAUUGGGACUGCGAGACGGCCCAGACUCCAACGGUAGGCAGCAGUGGGGAAUAUUGCACAAUGGGCCGAAGUCGGAGGCGGCAACGCUGCGUGCGGGAUGACGGCCUGCGGGUUAUAAACCGCUGUCGCCUGUGACGAAGCGUGAGUGACGGUAAUGGGUAAAGAAGCACCGGCUAACUACGUG
Molecule: ribosomal RNA, 468 nt
Filed under: uncultured bacterium
Lineage: Bacteria
Description: partial 16S ribosomal RNA
Rfam family: Bacterial small subunit ribosomal RNA
Source: RNAcentral